CUAUCGACGCAGCCGCCGCUGUGAGGAAGACCGAGGUAAAAGGGCCAAGCGGGAUAUAAAAGAGGAAGAAAUCAUGGAUUACAUGGUGAAGUAGGCGCAGAAGAAGGCUCUGAAGGUCGCUAAGAAACUCAAAGCAAACGAGGCUGGAUAUUCUAACGAUUCUAAUCCUUUUGGAGACUCUAAUUUGACUGAGAAGUUUGUAUGGAGGAAAAAGAUAGAACGUGAUAUUAUGCAAGGUGUACCUCUUGAUAUAUCCGUGAAGGCUGAAAAGAAGAGGGAAAGAGAAAAAAAUGG
Zingiber officinale is the source of this 294-nucleotide long non-coding RNA. RefSeq lists it as uncharacterized. Lineage: Eukaryota; Viridiplantae; Streptophyta; Magnoliopsida; Zingiberales; Zingiberaceae. The record is from RefSeq and is a predicted model, not a curated record. The transcript has 3 exons.